AUGCAUAUAUUGGAAAUUGAGCUGAAAUCCGCUGUGCUUUGUCAAAAACCAUGUUCCCGCGAGGAACCAGGAUUCUUCACUAACAUGUCCAAAUUUGAGAUUGUGAUUUUAUUUUUCUGUGAUUACGAUCCACAUUCAUGCUGUUCGUGCCCAAAUUUCUUGCAUUCUGUCGAAAAUCUGGUCAAAGGGUGCAGAUUACACACCAGAUUUGGGAGUCAGAAGCAAGUUGUUAGUUUUCAGGUGGUGUUGCGGUUGCACGCCUCCGGCAUGCACCUUGAGCUACUGAAAAAAACCAUGAGAUGA
RNAcentral lists this ribosomal RNA (303 nucleotides) under Triticum aestivum (bread wheat). Its description in RNAcentral is "partial small subunit ribosomal RNA". Lineage: Eukaryota; Viridiplantae; Streptophyta; Magnoliopsida; Poales; Poaceae. The record is from RNAcentral.